CAUCUGCUUCUUCCUCCUCUUCUCCUUCCUCUUCUUGGCAGUCCAGGGCUGCCAAAGCAUGCCAGAUCCUGAUGGAGCUGAAGGGCCCAUGAUAAGAGCUGGUAUGCUCAUCAUCCAGGUGAUAACUGUUCCCCAGAUCUUCUAUUGACCAUACUCCAAUGUCUUCAUAGAGAUAUAAAUGGCAUUGGGGACAAAAUCAGGCUCUGUGGCACCCCAUAGAUCAACUGCAAGGAAGCUAAGGCACAGUCACCCAUCAGACUCUCUGGAAUUGACUAAAACCACUGUAACAUAGUGCCCCAACCUACAGGGUCUAAUCAGAAGGUUAUUGUGGGUAAUGGUAUCCAGAGCCAUUGAGAGCUCUAGGAGAAUCAAUAAGGUCCCAUCCCCCCUGUCAUUCUCCUUCCCCCUAAGAAGGUGAUCAGGGUGACCGAGGCCAAUUCUGUCCUCCAAGUGGGUCUGGACCCUGACUGUAAUGGGUCAAGAUAAUUAGCUUCAUCCAAGAGUAGACCAUCUGCAGUAGAACCACCAAGACCCUCUCAGUCACCUUGCCCAGAAAAUGUGCAUUGGCAACCAGGCAGUAGUUGGCAUAAAUGUGUGGUUCCAGGUGAGUUUUCUUCAGGUAUACCUGCACCACUACCUCCUUGGGCUAGCAGGGACCAUCACAUCAUGCAGCAAAGUGUUUGCCAUGCCCUGGAUACAUCCAUAAGCCUGAAUUUGUGGGGCCACCUAUAAAUAAGCCUGGUAAAUUCAUUUGGCUGUGUUAGGUGAAGCAGUAAAUUAGCACUGCUUUAAAUUCAUUCCGUAAUAUGACAUUUUUUUAUUUAUUUUGUACAAAUAAUUAAAUCAGAAAUUUUCUAGGUAUCUUUUUACUGCGUGGUUGCAGUCUUCUACCACAUAAACACACUGAUGCUGUAGAGAGGGGUUUGUCCAGCAAAGGUGAUACAGAGAGUAAGAGGAGAUGGUGGUGAUAAUGAUGAUGAUUCGUAACAUUGCUUUAGAGUCAAUUGCGCAGGAGGGGCUGUGCAGAUACAGAAUGGAAAGAAGAAUCAGCUUGUGCCUUGAGGGCUUGCUGUCUCAUUUGCUCCAGAGGAACCUAAUUGAAGAUCCAAGUUCACUUCCAAAUGAAAUAAAGCCUGAAUUCCCCAUAGGCACCAGCAGGCUUCAUCACAGAAGCAUAUCUCAUAGCCUUUCCACGUACUAAAUAUCUAUUUAAUUCCUGUCUCACCUGUGACAUCAGCACCACACACAGCUGGGAAUCAGUGAAGGCACUUGCAAUUCUAAAAAUAUCCCAGGCAGCAGAGUGUGGAACUGCACUGCUUUGGAAUAUGUGCGGUGGAAAAUGUUGCAUUAAUCCCUGGAGUUGGAUGCUGCAGCUAUGGCAAGUGGAUGGAGCUUGUUGGGUGUUGCCUAUUCCCAUUGGCCACUACUUGUGACCAAAAAAGAAAGAAAGAAAGAAAGAAAGAAAGAAAGAAAGAAAGAAAGAAAUGUACAUUCUUGGCUGCAGGUAGCAGAUUUUGAAAUAUUAAAAGGCAGCAAAUUGUCAAUUAUUUUGCUAUAUUUUUACUGUUUGGAUUAUCUCCCUCAGGCACUAAAAUAUAGUGGGCUGCCUCUUCCCACAUGUUUUGACUUGACCUACAGCUUGUUAAGUAGUGUGUGUUUGCCAUGAAAUUACAAGCCCACAAGGGUUCAGCAUGAGUUAUUUGAAUGUUGCUGUGCUGUUUUGCUUUUUUUAAAAAAACCAACAACCAACAACUCACUUUUAUUUGUUGUGUGUGAAAGUCCUACAAGUCUAGGCAUAUCUGUGGUUCUGCAAUACAUAUAUUCUCUUAUUAAAAUUAAUUGCAUGGAUUACACAAA
Podarcis muralis (Common wall lizard) is the source of this 1857-nucleotide non-coding RNA. The record is from RefSeq and is a predicted model, not a curated record. NCBI's taxonomy places the organism in Eukaryota, Metazoa, Chordata, Lepidosauria, Squamata, Lacertidae.